Molecule: ribosomal RNA, 292 nt
Filed under: uncultured bacterium
Lineage: Bacteria
Description: partial 16S ribosomal RNA
Rfam family: Bacterial small subunit ribosomal RNA
Source: RNAcentral
GUGUCAGCAGCCGCGGUAAUACAGAGGGUGCAAGCGUUAAUCGGAAUUACUGGGCGUAAAGCGUGCGUAGACGGUUAUUUAAGUCAGGUGUGAAAGCCCCGGGCUCAACCUGGGAAUUGCAUUUGAGACUGAAUAGCUAGGGUGCGGAAGAGGGAAGCGGAAUUUCCGGUGUAGCGGUGAAAUGCGUAGAUAUCGGAAGGAACACCAGUGGCGAAAGCGGCUUCCUGGUCCAGCACCGACGUUCAGGCACGAAAGCGUGGGGAGCAAACAGGAUUAGAAACCCCCGUAGUCC